AUUGAACGCUGGCGGCAUGCCUUACACAUGCAAGUCGAACGGCAGCGCGGACUUCGGUCUGGCGGCGAGUGGCGAACGGGUGAGUAAUACAUCGGAACGUACCCUGUUGUGGGGGAUAACUAGUCGAAAGAUUAGCUAAUACCGCAUACGACCUGAGGGUGAAAGUGGGGGACCGCAAGGCCUCACGCAGCAGGAGCGGCCGAUGUCUGAUUAGCUAGUUGGUGGGGUAAGGGCCCACCAAGGCGACGAUCAGUAGCUGGUCUGAGAGGACGAUCAGCCACACUGGGACUGAGACACGGCCCAGACUCCUACGGGAGGCAGCAGUGGGGAAUUUUGGACAAUGGGGGCAACCCUGAUCCAGCAAUGCCGCGUGUGUGAAGAAGGCCUUCGGGUUGUAAAGCACUUUUGUCCGGAAAGAAAUCGCGCUGGUUAAUACCUGGCGUGGAUGACGGUACCGGAAGAAUAAGCACCGGCUAACUACGUG
RNAcentral lists this ribosomal RNA (484 nucleotides) under uncultured bacterium. RNAcentral describes it as "partial 16S ribosomal RNA". It matches the Rfam family "Bacterial small subunit ribosomal RNA", at positions 30 to 507 of the family's 1533-position model. The record is from RNAcentral.